AUCAUGGCUCAGAUUGAACGCUGGCGGCAUGCCUUACACAUGCAAGUCGAACGGUAACAGGUCUUCGGAUGCUGACGAGUGGCGAACGGGUGAGUAAUACAUCGGAACGUGCCCAGUAAUGGGGGAUAGCUCGGCGAAAGCCGGAUUAAUACCGCAUACGCCCUGAGGGGGAAAGUGGGGGAUCGCAAGACCUCACGUUAUUGGAGCGGCCGAUGGCUGAUUAGCUAGUUGGUAGGGUAAAGGCCUACCAAGGCGACGAUCAGUAGCUGGUCUGAGAGGACGAUCAGCCACACUGGGACUGAGACACGGCCCAGACUCCUACGGGAGGCAGCAGUGGGGAAUUUUGGACAAUGGGGGAAACCCUGAUCCAGCAAUGCCGCGUGUGCGAAGAAGGCCUUCGGGUUGUAAAGCACUUUUGUCAGGGAAGAAAUCCUUUGGGCUAAUACCCUAGGGGGAUGACGGUACCUGAAGAAUAAGCACCGGCUAACUACGUGCC
This 496-nucleotide ribosomal RNA is filed under the name beta proteobacterium SCB53. RNAcentral's name for it is "bacterial SSU rRNA". It matches the Rfam family "Bacterial small subunit ribosomal RNA", at positions 16 to 509 of the family's 1533-position model. The record is from RNAcentral. Lineage: Bacteria; Pseudomonadati; Pseudomonadota; Betaproteobacteria.